RNAcentral lists this ribosomal RNA (526 nucleotides) under uncultured Trechisporales. RNAcentral's name for it is "eukaryotic LSU rRNA". The stretch from base 216 to 369 matches the Rfam family "5.8S ribosomal RNA". The record is from RNAcentral. Lineage: Eukaryota; Fungi; Basidiomycota; Agaricomycetes; Trechisporales.
CCUGCGGAGGAUCAUUAUUGAAACUCAAAGGGGCUGCGGUGGUGGUCCUGCGCACCGGUGGCAACGCCGUUGUUGCGCGCCCCCCGCGCCUCAUCCACACUCAAACCCUUGUGCACCUUUGGGGGAAGGCGGGUUCGCGCCCGUCGGCCCCUUCAUUCACAGACUCUGUCUAUUAGAAUGUAACACGCGGCGAAAGCCGUUUGGAACUAUAAAACAACUUUCAACAACGGAUCUCUUGGCUCUCGCAUCGAUGAAAAACGCAGCGAAAUGCGAUAAGUAAUGUGAAUUGCAGAAUUCAGUGAAUCAUCGAAUCUUUGAACGCACCUUGCGCCCCUUGGUAUUCCGAGGGGCAUGCCUGUUUGAGUGUCUUGAAAUCAUCAAGCCGUCGGGUUCGUUCCCGCGUCUUGGACUUGGGGGCUCUUGCUGCCGUGAGGCGGCUCCCCUUAAAUCCAUCGGUCGGCUCCUGCUUGAGCGCGUCCUGGCGUUGUACACACCUCGCUGGAUAAGCUGCCCUUGUGGACCGGCC